Molecule: small RNA, 28 nt
Filed under: Bombyx mori (domestic silkworm)
Lineage: Eukaryota; Metazoa; Arthropoda; Insecta; Lepidoptera; Bombycidae
Description: ovarian small RNA-37822
Source: RNAcentral
UUGCAUGGGGGAUUUUUUGAUCUUGCGC